RNAcentral lists this ribosomal RNA (500 nucleotides) under uncultured bacterium. RNAcentral describes it as "partial 16S ribosomal RNA". It matches the Rfam family "Bacterial small subunit ribosomal RNA", at positions 899 to 1397 of the family's 1533-position model. The record is from RNAcentral.
ACUCAAAUGAAUUGACGGGGGCCCGCACAAGCAGUGGAGCAUGUGGUUCAAUUCGAUGCAACGCGAAGAACCUUACCCGGGUUUGAAAGGCCAGUGACAACCGAUGAAAGUCGGUCUUGUAGCAAUACACACUGGUACAGGUGCUGCAUGGCUGUCGUCAGCUCGUGCCGUGAGGUGUUAGGUUAAGUCCUGCAACGAGCGCAACCCCUACAUUUAGUUGCCAUCAGGUCAAGCUGGGCACUCUAAAUGGACUGCCUACGCAAGUAGCGAGGAAGGUGGGGAUGACGUCAAGUCCUCAUGGCCCUUACAUCCGGGGCCACACACGUGCUACAAUGGCCACUACAAAGGGUUGCAAAGCCGCGAGGUGAAGCUAAUCCCAAAAAAGUGGUCUCAGUUCGAAUUGGAGUCUGCAACUCGACUCUAUGAAGCUGGAAUUGCUAGUAAUCGCUGAUCAGCACGCAGCGGUGAAUACGUUCCCGGGCCUUGUACACACCGCCCGU